This 374-nucleotide ribosomal RNA is filed under the name uncultured bacterium. RNAcentral describes it as "bacterial SSU rRNA". It matches the Rfam family "Bacterial small subunit ribosomal RNA", at positions 526 to 896 of the family's 1533-position model. The record is from RNAcentral.
GGGGGCGAGCAAGCGUUGUUCGGAUUUACUGGGCGUAAAGGGCGCGUAGGCGGUCAGCACAAGUCAGUUGUGAAAUCUCCGGGCUUAACUCGGAAAGGUCAACUGAUACUGUGCGACUAGAGUGCGGAAGGGGCAACUGGAAUUCUCGGUGUAGCGGUGAAAUGCGUAGAUAUCGAGAGGAACACCUGCGGCGAAGGCGGGUUGCUGGGCCGACACUGACGCUGAGGCGCGAAAGCCAGGGGAGCGAACGGGAUUAGAUACCCCGGUAGUCCUGGCCUUAAACGAUGGAUGCUUGGUGUCUGGGGUUUUAUAGUCCCCGGGUGCCGUAGCUAACGCGUUAAGCAUCCCGCCUGGGGAGUACGGUCGCAAGACUG